CUAGCUCAGCUGGUAGAGCGCAACCUUGCCAAGGUUGAGGUCAUCGGUUCGAACCCGAUG
This 60-nucleotide transfer RNA is filed under the name Vibrio splendidus. RNAcentral describes it as "tRNA-Gly". It matches the Rfam family "tRNA", at positions 8 to 63 of the family's 71-position model. From Rfam's summary of the family: Transfer RNA (tRNA) molecules are approximately 80 nucleotides in length. Their secondary structure includes four short double-helical elements and three loops (D, anti-codon, and T loops). Further hydrogen bonds mediate the characteristic L-shaped molecular structure. tRNAs have two regions of fundamental functional importance: the anti-codon, which is responsible for specific mRNA codon recognition, and the 3' end, to which the tRNAs corresponding amino acid is attached (by aminoacyl-tRNA synthetases). tRNAs cope with the degeneracy of the genetic code in two manners: having more than one tRNA (with a specific anti-codon) for a particular amino acid; and 'wobble' base-pairing, i.e. permitting non-standard base-pairing at the 3rd anti-codon position. Lineage: Bacteria; Pseudomonadati; Pseudomonadota; Gammaproteobacteria; Vibrionales; Vibrionaceae. The record is from RNAcentral.